AUUAAAAUUAUAUUUUGUUUAUAUAUCAGUCCGACGUGUACGUCUUACUUCCUGGCUUGUUUAACGCGUUUGUAUUUUAAUUUCAUAAGUAUUCUUAACGUACUGUUCAUCGUAUGACCAAUCAGUGCACAUGUGUAACUGAAAAAUAAUUGCCAUCAAUUCAUCGUAGUUGUAAAUUCACCGUACGGGUGAACGCUGUUAGUCGGACCCCGUUAAUUGAUCGGCAUCUUAUUAUAUUUGUGAUUUCUGUGUGUUCAUGCAGAACCUGCUCUGUGAUGAACAUAAUAUUUUCAUACCUCUAUAUUUUGAAUAAGAAUAUGACCGUGCUUAGAAUCGCGGAGAAAAUUGGACAAGUCAAGACUAACUUGUCAGUAAACUAUAUAUGGCUCUAUCAUAUUUAGUUUGGCAAAAUCAUCAGUACUUGUAAAUAAAUUAUAGUUAAAGACAAAAUCUGAUACAUAUGUCUCAUUAGAAUUGGUUUAAUUUCAUUAGACAUUUGUAAACAAACGGUCGGCCAUUUUUUUUUGUUAAUCACGUGUUACAAAUACAAUUGUAACAAACACACGCCAAUACUUUGUCGUAUUUAACCAGGAAACACUGACUCCGACAGUCCUUAUUUAAAAUAAAUAUACAUGUAAAGGGUAUACUAUUCGGAAAAAAUGAUAAUUUUGAUUAAAUAUUAUUCAUUUUAAACUAUCCCAAGAUGCACUUUUCCAAGAUUUAGUGGGUUCUGAUUGGUCAGUAUUGGCGCACUUUAUGAUUCCGAGCGAAGGUUAAAAUGGACAAGUAGGUGCUGUUGUAAAAUGGAGAAUUGAGAAGCAUUAAUAGCCUCUACAACAAGGAGAUAAUGCAGGAACGAAGAACUCAUGUCAAGCAUUGACAGCAUACAAAGACAAUGUUUCCGGUGAUUAGUUGCAUCCUCUGUUCGGUGAUUCGGGUGAAUGUUUUGACCAGCUGGACGAUGUGAACGCAAGAUAAAUAGAACAGACAUAAAGUACAGCCCAGUGAAAGGAACAAGUACAUCGCAAGAAGAAGAAUUGUAAUGCUACCUCUGUCCAGAACUACUAAGUCUGCUGUAACCAUGAUGUGAUCAUAUGAGUGCUUCACCGGUCUGGACAAUGCUCGAAAAUCCCCCCAAAAGGCCUAUUUCCAUAAACUACGACUCAGGUUACAUCAACAACAGCCAAGGACACUCCUUAUUGAUUCGAAUGGACACAUCUCUACGACCCGACUAAACCUCUGCAGAACAAGACAUUUUAGCUGUAAAGUAUUUUCAUUUUAAAAAACCUAUAAACUAUAAAAGUCCUUUUUUUAUAUGAUCAAAUCAAAUACCAGUAUAUUACAAUGUCUGUCUGUAAGCUAGAAUCUUAGAAAAUCACAUGGUUUUGACUUAUUAAAUGAUCGAUUAGACCUUGCAGAUAUUAACUUUCAUUUUCUUAAAUAAUUUGUUAUAUUUGCAAAUGUUGCAUAAAAUAUUAGACUCCAUGUAACAUAUAUCCUCACACCUCCAAGUUGAUAAGUGUUAACUACUUUUUUCCAAUUUCUUUGUUUAAACAUUUAUUGAUAACUUUAAAUAGUUUUUAUUUGCAGCAAUAUAUGAACAAUUAAGAAACCAAUGUAAAAACACUGCAUUAGGAGAUGAAUGCAUGGGUCAUAGAAAUGAUAAAUUACACCAAACAAUAUUCAAUUAUGUCGUAUAUGAAAAUAAAUAAAGACAACAUAUACCUCAAGUAUUACAAUUUUUAUAUAACAAAAUUACUUGCAUGGAAAGUUGUUUCCAUGUGGGUUUUAUUUUAAUGUGUGUUAUGUAACUAAUAUUGGAAUUAGCUUUUAUAUCAUAAGAAAAAUGCUGGUAUUGAUGAGAAUUGUAAGGUGAAUGAUCUGUGUGAUACUUUGUACUUUAUACAUUCAUGCUACAAAAAGCAAGUACAUGUACAUGUAGUAAUACUUGACAUAUAUAAACAAUGUCUAUUUUACUUCAUGUCUUGGAUUUAAAAAUAUUAAUGUAGGUAAAGUAGUGAAAUGUAGGAAGGUAAACCGUGUGUAAAGAAGAUUAUUCAUCAGGAAUGAAGUGUGAUGCAAUCAGCAUAAUAAUUAAAUGUGUACAUCAUAUUUUUGCACAUGAUUUGACAGACUGCUCCAUUGUUAGCUUUUUGUUGGCCAACAAGCUUUUCAUAUCUCUCUCUGGGUCAUCUAUUAAAUACUGACAGGCUUAUGAUAUUAAAAUCUGAUCAGUUGGUACAUCAUGGGUGGAAAUGAGAAGUUCACUUUGGACUUAAUGGAUUAUCAAAAAAAAUGAUAUCAAAUCCUGUUCUAUUGUAAAACAUUAGAUUAUAUUACUAACAAAGAAAAGGUUUAUCCCAACUUGUAAGUGGGUCACUUUGACCUCAUUUUGGAAUUUAUUGACAUACAUAUUCAAAUCAAAUCUGGGCCAUACCUCUAUAGUCAACUACUAUCUUGUAGUGUAUUUUUUUUUAAAAGAUGGAUACUUUAGACUUUUCAAAAAUAUUUCAUGGUGUACAUAUUCAUUGUAGUUCAAAACAAAUUGAGACAAGUGUAUCAUGUUCAUGUAACAGUGAAGUUUUCUUUGUUUAUUCAUGUACGUGCAAUUAUUUUGUAAAUUGCAUUCAUAUUUUUUAAAAAGUAAGAUCUUUGUUGCAUUUUUAAAGGGAGAUUUGAUAGGCAUUUAAUCGAGAUAAAAAAAUACAAAUGUAAAGAUUUCUAUGGGAGUUUUUUUUUCUUGUUUAAUUUUAUCAUUUUUUAAAUAAAAGUCACUAAUAAUGGAAUUGCCAUAUGGAUGUUUCUCCAUUAUUGUAUCUUGGCUGUAUUUUAUUCAUUAUUGGAAACAAUUUCAGAUUUUUGAACAAAAUAAAUUUGGAACUGUUUGAAAUUGUUUUGUUUUUACAUAAAGUAGAAACCUUGCUCAGCUUUUGUGAAAGCAAAAAAUAUAAAAAGUUUCAGUAAGUUUCAGUUGCAGAAACCCUUUGUAAACAAUAUGUAUCCCAAUUGUAUAUGGAGGUUGAAACUAUGCAGAAACUUCAAGUUUCAGUAAGUUUCCGUCACGGAAACCAUUUGUAAACAACAUGUAUCCCAAACGUAUAUGGAGAUUGAAACUAUGCAGAAACUUCAAGUUUCAGUAAGUUUCCGUUGCGGAAACCAUUUGGAUUCAUGGACAGCCUAAGUUUCAGCACUGCGGAAACUUAACGAAACUUGAAGUUUCUGUGCUGAAACCUGUCGGAAACUUAAAGUAACCUUAAGUUUCCGCAGAGUUUCCAAAGGGUUUCCGCAGCGCUGAAACCAGAUAUUUCAUCCAGUGAAACGUUGCUUAUAAAAUAGGUUCUGGAUGUAUUGCCCAGAGAAUUAAAAAUAUGCUUGAUACUAUUAUUAGUCCUGAUCAAACAGGUUUCAUACCAGGAAGAUAUAUUGGUGAAAUUCUAGACUGAUAUAUGAUCUUAUGCAAUAUACAGAGACAAAAAACAUCCCUGGUGUAUUGUUAAUGAUUGAUUUUCAAAAAGCCUUUGAUACUGUUUUCUGGACAUUUACUCACAAAUGUUUAGAUUUUUUAAACUUUAGAGUAUCCAUUCAAUCUUGGACAUCUACUUUUCAAUGUAAUAUAGAAUUAUCGGUCACACAAGCUGGAUAUCUUUCAAAAUUUUUCAAACCAAUCAGAGGAUGUCGCCAAGGCGAUCUGAUCUCCCCCUAUUUAUUCCUACUUUGUGCAGAAAUUUUGGCCUAUAAGAUAAAAAGUAAUAAGAAUAUACAAGAUAUAGUAGUAGAUGAUACUGAAUAUCUGAUAUCUCAAUAUGCUGACGACACUGUAUUAAUUUAAAAUGGCUCAGAAAAAUCCCUCAGAACAACUAUUGAUGAAUUGAAUAAUUUUAAUACAAUCUCUGGACUCAAGAUUAAUUUAUCAAAAACACAAUUAGUCUGGAUAGGCAGCAAAAAAUAUUCUACUGAAAAACUAUGUCAUGAAAUGAAUUUUUCAUUGGACAACACAAUUUAAAUUACUAGGCAUCCAAUUUGACGUAGAUCUAACAAAUAUUUCAAAACUCAAUUAUGAUAAAAAGUUUAUUAAAAUUAAAGAAAUCAUCAAUCAGUGGAACAAAAGACAUACAACUCCUAUUGGUAGGAUUACUUUGGACAUAGUGCUGAAGACUGGGUCAGACUUCAUAUCCUGUAUAUUAACUUAUUUAGUUAGAAACUCCUUUUGGAAGGAUACAUUUAUUGCUUUUAAAAAUAUACAUGAUAGAAUGAAAUUACUCACAUGGCAUGAAUUUAUUACACAACCAAUAUGGUACAAUAAGAACAUUACAAUGGGGGGGAUCAAUUUUCUUUUUUGAUUGGUUUAAUAAGAAUAUUGUUUAUAUCAAUGAUAUCUAUGAUAUGCUGGAUGAAAAUGGGUCCUUUUUAAGUUUACAAGACCUUCAAAGUAAGUUUGAUAUCACGUCAAACGUCCUUACUUAUCUUGGUUUACAGAAAUCUAUUUUAACUAGUUUACAUUAUCAUGGAAUCUCCCGAGGCCUUUUAUCCCUUUCCACAUUAAUAUACAAUUAUUUAAUGCUUGAGCAGUCAAUAGACCCGAAUAUUUUCCCGAGGUGCAGGGAACAGCUCAGUAUGAUCUAUUGCCCGAGGCCAACGACAUGAGUCUGAUCUAUUAAAAGAACCGCUAUGGUGUAAUAAAAUUUUUGUGUUAAAAAACAAACCAGUAUUUUCUAAAGAGUGGUUAAAAAGUGGUAUUAAGUACUUAAACGAUAUUGUAAACGAAAAUGGUUUGAAACCUGCAGAAUGGUUUAGUAACCAUCUUGUCUGUAAAAGAAACUGGAUAUGUGAAUAUGUAAUUAUAAAAACGAUCUUUUCAAAUGUUUUCAAAAAUAUGUUCAGAUAUUCAAUAUGAAAACAUUGUAUUCGGAAAAACGUCUUUUGAACUGUGUUUUAAAAACCAUGUAUACAUCUGUGAUAUUAAUUCAAAGCUAAUUUAUGACAUUUUUCGUCAAAAACAAUUUGUAGCACCAUUACAUCAACUUUACUACAAAAAUGUUUUUGAAAUUUCCAAGGAAUCAUGGAAAUCUAUUUAUGAACAAAAAAUCCUAGCCAUUAAAGACAAAAAAAUAUCUGACUUUAAUUACAGACUACUAAACAAUUUAUUAUGUAAUAGAGAAAUGAUGAAAAGAUGGAAAAUUGUUGGAAAUGAUAUGUGUAUCUUUUGUAAAGAUGUAAAGGAAAACAACGAACAUCUCAUUCUGAAAUGUAAGAAUAUAAGUCAAAUAUGGGACACUGUUCAAAAAUGUUUAAAUUUUGAUGUAUCAUGGAAAACAGUAGUUAUAGGUUUUUAUUUUGAAAAAAAUGAGAAAACACUAUUUCUUAACAGUUUGAUUUCUUUGAUUGCCUGUAAGAUAUAUAAGUAUAAAGUGUAUUGUAGAAUUGAAAACAAAGAGGAAAAACCUCAAGAAAUAUGUAAUCAUAUAAAAUAUGUACCAACUUUUUUCUCUGAGGUCUUCAAAUCGUUGUCACAAAGGAGUUUUGCAACCCUUUUAAAACGUAUUAGAAGCAGUUUAUAAUUCAUAUAAUAGGAUACAUAAUUUAUUUUUAUUUUAUAUAUAUUUAUAUAUCUUCUCUUUAUCUGUUUUGUUAGACAAAUAGGUGCCAACAGGUCCACAUACCAGGUGUGGUCGCUGUUUUGGUAACAUGGGGCAUUAGAGACUUGUAGUUAGUGGAUUGUGGCCCUUCAUGUUAGCAUAGGCAAUAUCUUAUUGUACUAAAAAUGAAAUAUAAAUGUAUGUUUGAACAAUUCUGAAAACUUUUUUCAUUACCUUUUUGUCAAUCAUUUUUUAUGGGUUUUUUGGGUUUUUUUUUUCAAAUAUCUUUUUUUUUUACUUAUAAGACUAAUGUCGAAUAUUGUGUAUGAAAAUGUGCAUAUCUACUUAUAUUUAAAGAUCCUAUACAUCUAUGUUGAAAAAUUAUGUAGUAAGUACUUAUGCUAUUGUAUUAAGAACAAAUGUAAAUAAACAAUAAAAAAAAAAAAAAAAAAAAAAAAAAAAAAAAAAAAAAAAAAAAAAAAAAAAAAAAAACA
Long non-coding RNA from Magallana angulata, 6070 nucleotides. RefSeq lists it as uncharacterized. The record is from RefSeq and is a predicted model, not a curated record. Lineage: Eukaryota; Metazoa; Mollusca; Bivalvia; Ostreida; Ostreidae. The transcript has 3 exons.